RNAcentral lists this ribosomal RNA (327 nucleotides) under uncultured eukaryote. Its description in RNAcentral is "partial 18S ribosomal RNA". It matches the Rfam family "Eukaryotic small subunit ribosomal RNA", at positions 1470 to 1796 of the family's 1831-position model. The record is from RNAcentral.
CCCUUAGAUGUUCUGGGCCGCACGCGCGCUACACUGAUGCAUUCAACGAGUAAUCUUUGACCUUGGUCGACAGAUCUGGGUAAUCUUUUGAAAUUGCAUCGUGAUGGGGCUUGCGGGUUGCAAUUACCCGCACCAACGAGGAAUUCCUAGUAAACGCAAGUCAUCAACUUGCAUUGAUUACGUCCCUGCCCUUUGUACACACCGCCCGUCGCUCCUACCGAUUGAAUGCUCAGGUGAGCCAUUCGGACUUUCAUCAUGCUGGUUUCCAGUUUUGAUGAAGGAAAGUCUUGCGAACCUUAUCAUUUAGAGGAAGGAGAAGUCGUAACA